RNAcentral lists this ribosomal RNA (394 nucleotides) under uncultured bacterium. Its description in RNAcentral is "bacterial SSU rRNA". It matches the Rfam family "Bacterial small subunit ribosomal RNA", at positions 355 to 766 of the family's 1533-position model. The record is from RNAcentral.
UGGGGAAUCUUGGACAAUGGGGGCAACCCUGAUCCAGCCAUGCCGCGUGAGUGAUGAAGGCCUUAGGGUCGUAAAGCUCUUUCGCCUGUGAAGAUAAUGACGGUAGCAGGUAAAGAAACCCCGGCUAACUCCGUGCCAGCAGCCGCGGUAAUACGGAGGGUGCAAGCGUUAAUCGGAAUCACUGGGCGUAAAGCGCACGCAGGCGGUUUGUUAAGUCAGAUGUGAAAGCCCCGGGCUCAACCCCGGAACUGCCUCCAAAACUAUUGGUCUAGAGUUCGAGAGAGGUGAGUGGAAUUCCAAGUGUAGAGGUGAAAUUCGUAGAUAUUUGGAGGAACACCAGUGGCGAAGGCGGCUCACUGGCUCGAUACUGACGCUGAGGUGCGAAAGUGUGGGG